GUUCCUGUAGUUGAAUACAACGGUGGUUUUUCAAAUCAUUGGCCCUGGCUAAAGCCCUGGUGGGAAUC
This 68-nucleotide transfer RNA is filed under the name Ablennes hians. Its description in RNAcentral is "tRNA-Glu". It matches the Rfam family "tRNA". From Rfam's summary of the family: Transfer RNA (tRNA) molecules are approximately 80 nucleotides in length. Their secondary structure includes four short double-helical elements and three loops (D, anti-codon, and T loops). Further hydrogen bonds mediate the characteristic L-shaped molecular structure. tRNAs have two regions of fundamental functional importance: the anti-codon, which is responsible for specific mRNA codon recognition, and the 3' end, to which the tRNAs corresponding amino acid is attached (by aminoacyl-tRNA synthetases). tRNAs cope with the degeneracy of the genetic code in two manners: having more than one tRNA (with a specific anti-codon) for a particular amino acid; and 'wobble' base-pairing, i.e. permitting non-standard base-pairing at the 3rd anti-codon position. Lineage: Eukaryota; Metazoa; Chordata; Actinopteri; Beloniformes; Belonidae. The record is from RNAcentral. RNAcentral also lists the same sequence under 1 other name.